This 366-nucleotide ribosomal RNA is filed under the name Zeta mendozanum. Its description in RNAcentral is "partial 12S ribosomal RNA". Lineage: Eukaryota; Metazoa; Arthropoda; Insecta; Hymenoptera; Vespidae. The record is from RNAcentral.
AGUAAGUAAAAUAUAUGUAUAUAUAUAAAUGAAAUUAAAGUAUUAAAUGAUAUAUCAUUAAAUUUAAAAGAUUUGGCGGUAUUUAAUUCAAGUUAGAGGAACUUGUUUAGUAAUUGAUAAUCCACGAUAAGAGUUACUUAGUAAAAUAUUUAUGUAUUGCUGUUUAAAGAUUUAUUUUAAGAGUUUUAUUAUAAUUCAUAACAAAUAUAGUGAAAUAAUUCAAGUCAAAAUAUAGUAUUAUUAAGAAUUAAAAUGAGUUACAAUUAAUUAAAUUAAUAUGAAUUCUAAAAUUUAAUUUUUAGAUGAAGGUGGAUUUAAAAGUAAAUUAAAUGAAUUAAUUUAGUUGAAAGGUGUUUUUAAAUAUGU